Molecule: long non-coding RNA, 11874 nt
Organism: Peromyscus californicus insignis
Lineage: Eukaryota; Metazoa; Chordata; Mammalia; Rodentia; Cricetidae
Exons: 2
Source: RefSeq, a predicted model, not a curated record
AAUAACCUGAAAGAUCAGAGAAGCAGGGGAGCAGUCACCAGUGACUUCUUACCUCUCUGGAUCCUCAGACCAAAAAGGCCGAGAUCCUGUCUCCACUUCACUUUAUCAUUUCCUGUCUCCACCUCUCAAGCACUAGGAUUAAAGGUGUGAGCCACUACCACCCAGCUUCUAUGGUUAUCUAGUGGCUGGCUCUGCCCUCUGAUCUCCAGACAAGCUUUAUUUGUCAGAACACAAACAAAAUAUCACACAACCCUUCAGGGGCCUCAGACCUAAUGGCUAAUCUGUAGACCCUGAUGCCCAUCUUACCCACUUGGUGUAUCAGACAUGUUUUCUUUAGUGAUCUGUGCCUCAGUUUCUCUGUCUGCCAAAUGGGAGUGACAAUGAUAAUAAUCCCUGCCUCUUAGACAUUGAUGUGAAUCAAAGAAGUUCCUGUACAAGACUGUUGGAUAUAAGGCCCUGCCUUACUGUAUGUGAAAUGCGUUUGAUAUUAUUGAUUUAAAGUGGUUGUUUUCCAGUACUUCUAGGCCUCUAUUACAAGUUGAAAGAUAAUAUUUUUGAUAUAUAGGAAUAUAUGAAAAAUAUUAGAGCCAGGCAGUGGUGGUCCAUGCCUUUAAUCCCAGCACUUGGGAGGCAGAGGCAGGGUGAUCUCUGUGAGUUUGAGGCCAGUCUGGUCUACAAAGCUAGCUCCAGGACAGCCAGGGCUACACAAAGAAACCCUGUCUUUAAAAAAAAAAAUUAGAAAAAUUAAUUUCAACAUUUUAAUUGUCUACUACAAAAAUUUAAUCGUAUUAUUAAAUGUGGCUCAUAUUAGUAUUCCUGUGUGUGUGUAUGUGUGUGUGUGUGUGUGUGUGUGUGUGUGUGUGUGUGUGUGUGUGUGUGUGUUUGCCUGCAAGCCUCAGGAAUCCUCCUGUCUCUGCCUCCUGAGCACCUGAAAUUAUAAGCACAUGCCACAUGCUGGUUCUGUACAGGUUCUGGGGAUCAAACCAGCUCCUAAUACUUGUGUGUCGAGCACCUCCAGACUGAGGUAUCACCCCAGCCUUCACAUUAAUGUUCUCAAUGGACACUGAUGGAUUGAACACUCUGUUUGGAGUCUGAAGGAAGAAAGUAUAACAAGCAUUUUGCACAUGGCCUCAAGCACAGUGGGGCUUGUUAAAUAUCUCCCACCCCAGCACCACACCUUUCCCUCUCUCAGGGCAGCUGAGUAUUUGUGCCCGAGUACGAAUCACAACUUUCCUCAUGAAGGCUGAGGUUGUGGCAAAAGGGACCAUGACCAAGUGUCUCAGACAGACCUGGAAGGAUGGACACCAGGAAUUCUGUGGUGGACACGUGACCCCACUAUCCUGUGAUGUGGGUCCGCCAGAGUGCCUCUUGCUCAGGCCACUGUUCAUCCUGGAGCCUAGAGCUUGUGGCUUCUUCCUGUUCAGCCAGGGCCCAACCUUGGGUACCGUUCCUGUUUCCAGGGCUCCUGAGGCUCAAGACUGGAGAAGGGGAAGAGGAAGAGCACAAACAGUGCCGUUGGUUAACACGACGUCACCCCCCCCCACCCCCAUUGCAUCCUCCACACCAGGGUCCGGGAAAUGUGAGAUAAACAUAUGUGUGUGGUAAUGAGAUUGUUGGUGGCAAGUCAGCUUGGGGAGGACAAGGAGCAAUUAAGCUUGCUGACUUACACAAGUUAGAAUGACGAGAUGCUGGGGCUGGCCCCACUCAUCACAUAAUAAAGCCUGUCCCUGUCAGCCAUGGCACAUCACCGCUGCCGGGAGCUGGGUGCUCGCUCUUCUCCUCCUUACGGCUACCCCCACCAGGCCCAGCAACACUGCCUGUCAGCAGCACCUGCAUCCACACACCCACCCUUUCUGAGCAUAAUCCAGGAAUACGCCUCUGCCAGGAAGGCUUGCAUCUAGUUUUAACUGGAUACCAAUCCAGCUGCCACAGAUAUGGGGUGCUGCCUCUGAGGUGCCUGAGAAAAUGUGCCCUGGCUGGGGAAAUUCUGUGGAAAAGAGUGCUCACUGAGCAAGUAUGAGGAUCUUAGUUCAAAUCCCCAACAAACGCUUGAAAAGGUGGGCAUGGCCAUGUGUACCUGUACUCCUGUUGCUUUUGUCGGGGGUGGGGUGCAGAAACAGGAGCAUUUCUGGGGUUUGCUUUGUGGUGGUCUAGCUACAGGUUCACUGAGAGACCCAGUCUCAAGGGAAUAAAUAAAGUGGAGCGUGCCACGCUCCAUCCUCAUUUACCUCCACAUGCACACACAUAGUUGCAUAACACACACACACACACACACACACACACACACACACACACACACACGCCCUGCUUUCAUAGACCUUAGGAUUGACACCAGUUUCCAGAGACAGAAUACUUCAGAGGCUGAAGCCUGAUGACCUAGCUGUACUGGCUGGUUGUAUCAACUUGGUACAAGCUAGACGCAUCAGAGAGGAAGGAGUCUCAGCUGAGGAAAUGCCUCCAUGAGAUCCAGCUGUAAGGCAUUUUCUUAAUUGUUGAUUGAUGGGGGGAGGACCCAGCCCUUGGUGGGUGGUGCCAUCCCUGGGUUGGUGGUCCUGGGUUCUACAAGAAAGCAGGCAGAGCAAGCCAUGGGAAGCAAGCCAGUAAGCAGCACCCCUCCGUGGCCUCUGCAUCAGCUCCUGCCUCCAGGUUCCUGCCUUGUUUGAGUUCCUGUCCUGAUUUCCUUCAGUAGUAAACAGAAAUGUGGAAGUGUAAGUCAAAUAAACCCUUUCCUCCCUAACUUGCCUUUUGGCCAUGGUGUUUGGUCACAGAUAGACACCCUAACUAAGAUACUAGCCCUUUCACACUGUUCCUGGCCAUGGGGAAGGUUGUCAUUGUUGUCCUAACAAAGAGCCCAGGCCCGGAGUCUGAGGCCUGGGUUGGCCCUCUUAUCUGCACACUGAAAUGGAGGAGGCUUGAAAAGGCUCUUGUCCAUGACAGCCGAGUGCACGAAAUUACAGGAGAACAUGGGAUUCUUCCUGUUUGGAGGUGACCUUGAGGCCCACCCUCAGUCUCAUUCCUGUCCCUUUCCACUCCCAAUGCAGUGCCAAGGCCUGGGCUCAGUAACAGCAGCAAGAGGACAGUAUUAAACAUCACAUCUCGCAGAGCUGACCACGGCUCCAUCUCCCAGUCAGUUUGUUGUUGGAGGUGGAAAAACUCCUCCCAUCCUUCUGGACUUUGGGUUGGUGGAGUGAUGGGGUAGGUGAGAGAGGAGGGAACGCUUUCCUGCCCCUUGGUGCUGCCUGGGAGUCGCUGGUACCCAGAGUUUCCCUUUCUCAAAUUCACAGGUGGUUUUCAUGGAUGCCCUAUGGGUAAUUGGCCCUGGGGAAGAGAGAGAGAGAGAGAGAGAGAGAGAGAGAGAGAGACUCUGCACUAAGGCUCAGUUGUGAUACCAGUGCCUGUUUGACCCUGACUCUGGGUCCCCAGUUGGGGCGGGUUGUCCAUCUGUCUCCACACAGGCCCGGGGGAGAUGAGGAUGGCUGGUGCGGCAGAUGUCCCUGGUUGCAUGGCUCAUAGCAUGUCCUCUGGGAUCCCAUGUCCCCUUCAGGGAAAACAGGACUGAUAUAGUUUAGUGAAACAUAACUGAUUUCCUUUUACGAGACAGUAGCAAGCCUUACCAAAGGUUCUUUUUUGUUAAUCAUGACUUUCCAAAGGAGAGACUCUCCCCGAAAUAUGAACACAAACCUCUGCCAGGAGCACAAUUGGUUGAAUCCUAGACUAAAAAGUUGUAUUAAAAUGUAGUGUCAUGUAUCAUCUGUAAAGAAGGGAACUUCGAAGUGCUUUAGGCCACAGUGAGUGUUCCCCGGGAGGUGGCCUCUCGCAGGCCUGUGACAGCAGCGUGCUGUGUGCCGUGGGAGUGCUGCCACGCUUUUCUGGUCUUUGAUUUCUCUGUUAUCUCAUUUCUGACAUCCUGCUUCGAUCUAGAAUAGUGUGAUUCUCUGGUCACAGCCGUGAAGAAGCGACACCUUUUACCCCGUGUGUUUAACACCAAUGCGUAAGAAGUAGGCACUGAAUAGAAAUACUGUCAGGGAGAUAACCACGGAAGCAAGGACCUGCACCAUCCAGGGGACACUUCUCCAGGUCUCCAGGACGGUGAGGAACAAGUCCCUUCCACUUGUCCUAGUGACAAGAACCAAGUCCUGUUUGUUUCAUUAAAGACGGCGAGGCCUGACCCUUGCUGAGCUCCCGGAAGCGGCAGUGGCAGCGACAAGCUGCAUCUUCAUGGUUAAACCUUCAUCCAAUGCCUGCUUUUUUUCCCUGAUAAUAAAAUGACACUUUGUAUAUUUCCCGUAAUAAGAUAAUUCAACCUCCCCACUUUGAGGGGGACGGCACCUGGAAGAAUGGAUUGUGAAAACUUCUUAUGCCUCCAUUUUCCUAAGCUGAAUCCCUGCCAAGCCCACGGCCUGGCCUUGGCCUGGUGUUCUGACAUGGAGAGCUGCUAGCUUGUGCCUUCAGGCCUCUCCAUCCUCCUCUGUAGCUGGUGUUCCCAGGGAAAAGAGAAAGAACCCUUCUGCUAUCAAUUUUGAGACAUCUCCAGGAUAUGUGUCACACACUUCGUGGCACUGUACCUGUGGCUCAGAGUCGCUGUCCUUUUCCCUUCAUAGACGACAAAUGAACAAGAUAAAGCUGAGAAAAAAGCUGUGUUCUUUAGAAUUUUUUUCAAGAUGGUAGUACCAUAUGGAACAAUGAAAGAGAUGAGAUUUGAACUCAUGUCCCUCAGAACACACACCACACAUACUACACACACACUAAACACCACAUAUACUAUACCUACAUACCACACUACACAACACACAUAUAUAUAUACACACAAGUGUUCAUGUGCAUGUACACACACAUACACACCACAAACACAUACUCCACACACACAUACACAUAUAUACAGAAGUACUUUCCACAGCACUGUGUCUCUGGAGACUUUCCUUGCAUGGUUGGAGCAGGAUCCCCUCAGCUGAGCAGAGCAUGAUGAACAGAACAGAAUCCUGAGAAAUUUCUUACUGAAAGAAGGAAAACCAUUUCUGUACUGGGCCCAGGCAUUGAUAAUGCCAGGCUCUCCUCAGGACCAUCUGUGCCUUGUCCAAUCAGGAGCCCAAAAGCUGCGUGUAGCCAAGGAUAGCUAUGAACAUGACUCAGCACAGAAUUGUAAACUUACUUAGAACACUGUGAGCUAAUUUUUAUUCUUGCAAACUUUUUAGUGACUUUUUCGUGUGGUGAAUUUUGUAGACAAUAACAUCAUGUCACAGACUCCAAAGGUUGGACAUGCCCAUUUUCCUGACAUGUGGAGGUCAGAACUGCCCAUCGACUUCCAAACUCCAAUCCUUAGAUGUUAGGUAACCUUGAGACUUUGGAAAUCUGGCGUUUAUCUGGAGGAUGCAUUUGGAGUAGUUCUAAAUUAGCACUUUGGACAGAUGUUGAGAGAACACUGAGGAAAGUCAUUAAAAGGAACAUUUUUAUUUAUUUCACCAAUAGGUGGACCCUCUUGAACUGCAGAGCAUCUUCUAUAGAGCCCUGGGUGCUCAGGUGUCUUCACUUGGUUUUCCAGAUGGACAGUCCCAGGCAAGGAGGCCCUGCAGUUUGCCUGAAGCUGUGCUGUGGGACUCAACAGUGCUGAGAGGCUCUCUCAGGUAUCGUUUCCAACCAAACACUGAGAGGCUGGUGUCUGCUCUGCGGUCCUGUGAUGGAAGGCACUGCUGGAGGUGGAUGGAUGGGGGGGUGGGGUGGGGGGUGCUGCUUGCAUCUUAUGUGAAAAACACAUCAUGGCUGGAUGCAUGCCUCGGGUGCCACACCUACUGAAGUGUGUGGAGAAAAGGGGCAGCGAGACUCGUCUCACGUUCUAGAGGUCUGUGGUCUUCAGGAGAUAGAGUGUGGACAUACAGGUGUCGGAGUGCUAUUCUAGGAGCUGAAGUGUGGUAGGAAGGAAGGCUGCAUGGAACUCAGACACGAGAGUGACAGCCUAUUCUUAAGUAAGAAGGCUGGGAACAUAAAUAGGCAGGUAAGGGCCGAAGCUGCCUCCCUGUCACCCUAACCUGUUUGCUCCGUGAAAGCCACCUCUUUGUAAAGCUUGCUGGUACAGCCAACCCAGGUAAAGUCCCACCAGCAGCAGAGACCCCAGCAUUUCUUAUGUCCCAAGUAAGAUUCUGCAAAGUCCCUGAAGUGUUGACCACUAAGGAAGGCACUGCCGGGGCAGGGGAGGCGGCUCGGUUCUAAGGUGUAAGCACAGGGGACUAAGGACCCACAUUAAAACAUGAAAGGCCAUGGGCUUAUGACCCUGAUGCUGGAAAGGCUGAAAGGGCAGAUCCCUGAGCUCCCUGGCCAGCCACGCUGACCUAUUGAGGGUGUUUCAACAGUGAGAGAUCGUAAAAAGAAUGAAAAGAAAAAAAUUGAGGAACUGAAGUAUUCUCUGACUUCUACAUGUACAUUCUUGUGCAUUCACACAGGCAUAUCUGCAUAUGCCUGUACACACACACACACACACACACACACACACACACACACACACACACACAGCCUUUUUCCUCCUCAGUCUUUCAAAAGCUGCCUACUUCCGUUCACUCCUACCCUGGAUCUUCCUCUCUACCCUCCUUCUCUGAAUUUAUCAAUGGUUACCUCCAGUAACCAUCUCUUGUCCCUGCCUCCAAGCUGAACUGGACACAUAAGCAUGAUUGAGCUUUCUCCUGCCGGCCUCCUUCUGACUCUUCUGGUCAUAUAUACCCUGUACCACCCGGCUCUGUCUUCUUCUGUGGGUAGUGGGAGAGCAGAGAAGGAGAAAGAGAUACAGCCGGCCAUUGUUUCCAAGUGAAUAGCUACUCUAACCACAGUCACAAGCCCUGUGAGGAUGGACAGGUACCAGGGCCACUGAGGGCUCUGCCCAGUUCCACUUGCUCCUGCCUCUUGGCUUGUUCCAGGGCUCCCUCAAAUCCCCAAAUUUAGAUUUCACCUAUGACUUUGGCGGCUUCCCGUCCUUACACUUGUCCUCAACAGAGUUCUACUGUGACUAUUACAGUGACAUAUUCACAAGCACGUGCGUGUAUUGUAGCUUUUCCCUUAAAAGGCCACAGCCUCUUCAGAGACAAUAAUUCUAUUUAAAUAAAGGCUAUGUGGGUUGUUAUGGUGCAUGUUCCAAAAGAUCGGAUCUGAAGGUGUCAGAGACCUGGUGUCCUUGCAUCAGCUCGUAAAAUACUAUGCUCCACAGAAUGUGCAGGGGGCUGCUGGCAUUUUUAUUUGGUGCUACUGUGUAAGGACUGAAGUAUAACUGGUGGUCCCAGGUCAGGGGAUAGAGGGCUUAGCUGUGACAAUGGAUUCAACUUUAAGAACAGGACAACUAUGGAUGGAGGUCCCAGGACUGUGUCCCUUGUAGACUGUAUGGAAAAGCUGUCAGAGUACUGUGAGGAUCGGACUGAAUCUGGGUUCACAGUGACCAAAGGAACUGCUGAGAGCGCUCACUCUGACCCCGACUGCUGUGUGUGCUUACAGGGUGGGCACCACGUCAGCAGGCAAUGUCACCAGACUCUCUUCUGAGAGCCCUUAGCACAGAUCUGUCUUUUGGACUGGAUGCUGCCACCCAGCAGCAGGGUAUGUUCUAAUUAUUAUUUUAAUUUUGUGUUGGCAGAAAGAUACUUUGAGGGAAGCACUUCCUUUGGGGGGCUAUUCAGAUCUCCAGACUUCUGGCUCAGGGCUUCUCAGCACACAUGAAGAACAUAUUGGUUUUCCCCCAAACUGUCCUCUGUACAGCACUUACCCUACUGCUUGUGGGACCCAGGAUAUGUUUCCUCAGUUCAUCCAUACCUCCUGGGAUGGGGGACCAAACAGAAGGGACAGCCUACAAAGGGUAAAGCCAGCAUAUCCAAAUAAACACUGCCUGGUACUUACGCCGGGCAUGCCUCACUGGCUGCUAGGUCACAGUGAAGAAUUAAACAGAAGCUCCAGGUUUACAUAAUCAAAAUAUGCACCUUACUUGACUUUUUUUUUUCAUAUCAGCUCUUUGCUACAUGAACUUCUUGAACUGACAUACACCGGUAAGACAUUAUUUUGUGUUGUGUAUUAUGGUAUUUUUAGGGGGCAGGGGUGGGAUCAACCUCUCCUAGAUUGCUCAAGGUAACAGUAGUAAGGUUCUCACAGUGAACAUUCCUCCUUCUGAGUUGAAAUAGUGUGGUGUGAAAAGGCUUGAGAACACAGAAUUUCAGGUUCACAGCAGUGUUGGGCUAUUGACAAUUGAUCUCUGACCUAUAGCUUCUGUGCUGUGGUCUUAAAUACUGGAUUCUAGGCUACUGUGGGAGAACUGGUUACAGAAGCUGUCCAAAUAAAAACCAAAACAGAACAAAAAGUCCUCAAACAAAAAACCCCAACCGAAAAAUCAAUAGUUUGCAUAUGCAUUUUAAAUGAAUAUUAUAAGUACAAUAUUUUUAAGAGUAUGGGAAUUAUAGAUGAGUAAGUAUACAUUCAUCAAAUCAGGCCAUUUUGCAUGUGAGUGGUCCCAUAAAAUUUGUAGAGCUCAGGAAAUUAGCAUUCCAAGUGGACAGUCCUAGGUCUUAUCAAAUUUAUUCUGAAAGCUGAACGUUGCUGGUCUGAGUUCACAGGAUCUGAAAUAUGGUAUUUACCCCAUGUGAACAUGUGGUAAAAUCAUCAAGAAAAGCAUGUUGUUCCUUUGCACAAAGCCUCAUUUUAAAGGGAACCUUCACUGGUAAAUGUAUGCAGCCUGUAAGUUCCACAAGGGGUUAAAAUAUUACAGGUACAAGUCAGGUGGACAUUAUAAAUGUUACCCAAAUAAAAGCCCAAAACAGGAAGCCAAGAAGCAAGUCCCUAAGGCAGGCAGUGUCUUAAAUAAUAUCAUCUGUCAAGUUUCCAGCAUCUUGUGGCGGCGGGGACACAAAAAGAAGGUUUUCGUGGUGCUGGGACAUUCUAGCCUCAUUAGCUGCGGCACUCCUCUACACACAGCAUAGGGUUUCACUUUAAUAAGCUGCAGCUACUUCUCACACACUUGCAUUAGAUAAACACCGAAGGAAAUACUAAUGACCAUCUACAGAGGCUCCAUUCCAUUCCUGAUAAACUCCAUUCUGGUGCAGUUAAACCAUAACAACACAUAGAACCGAUCUCUCUUUGCAAACCAGUUCCUAGGGUUUUUUUUUUGUUGUUGUUGUUUAGUGCUGAAAUCAAUCAGCAUCUGCAGUCAUUGUGAAAAGGACCAGAAAUUAUAUUGUCUGUGCUUUUGUGCAUUCAAAACAGGUUAGAAGGGGUAGCAGUUGACUUUUUAGAACUCCUGACUAAGGAAUCCUAGAGGUGUCUUUCUCAGGAGGCAAUGCCUUUUUCCCGGCUGGGUCAAUGGCCUUACACCAAGAACUGAGGAUUGAUUUAUCCCACAUCACUGCUCUGCCCCCAAGUCUUCCCUAGGGCAAGCUGACAAUGGCCCUGAAUUAGGAAUGCACUUUUUGUGAUGUGGACCACGGCAGAGUGUGGACCCUUACACCAUCUCACCUCCCGUUAGUGACUGGACCUGGACAACAACUCGAGGGGACCAAACUAAUAUUCCAUUAGAACCCUACAUUUAAAAAUCAUUUUUCAAAAGAAUUAAAAAAAACUUUUAAAUGUAUUUUUGGGAUUAUUGGAAUGAGCAGAAUCAUUCAUGCUUGUUUUCUAAGAAUAAAUGAAAACAGCAUGUACCAUAGUUUCUCUGUUUGGGGACGGAAAGACAUGUUUCUUCUUCUUCUUUUUUUUAAUGUUGUUUUAUUUUAAACCUGGGUGUUUGAAUUUUACUUUUACAUAGCUGAAUUUAGUAUAUUCCCUCAAAACAUAAUACAUUUUUAUUCCAUAGCUUAAGGGAUCCAUCAGAUAAAAUGUUGGUCUUUCAUCUUUAUUACCCUCCCAUUAAAAUGAAGGAAACCGGGACUCACUUCAGUUUAGAAGAGGCAAUUUAGUUGGUAAUGUCCUCAGUCCUCCAGCCUUUUCAGAGGGAGAGUGCAUUAUCACUGAGAUUUCACACAUCUAUCUGCAUAGGAAGCAACUGAGCCUUUCAGACAUAUACUACGUUAAAUUUAAUAAUAGUCUUUGAUUAGAUUAUUUUAUUACAACAUUUUUCCAUUACCAGUCAUUUCCUGAGCAUACUAACAUUCAUAAAACCUGCCCGCCCUCCGUUUGUUAUGUUUGUAUACGGAAGAGCCGGCCAAGUCUCUCCUGCUACAGUGGCUAGGUCUGAAAGGGACAGAUGAAUAACUAGGCACCACACUGGAUAAGCCUUUCUAGUUCCCUGCACCAGCAGCCCUUCUUCGCUAUGACGAGGACACAAAGAGCCUCGCGUCAGGCUGAUACCCUUCUUCAUAACUCAAAAGCGUCACAGUGGCAAUAGCCUCUAGUGCUAUUUGUCUUUAGUGCGGUUCUGACACUCCGGCAUGAUCCAUAACUCGGCAGCUAUUUACCGUGACAUUUCCCUUCAGUGCGGCCAUAACAUUCAGUGAAGCCAUUAUUUGGUUCCAUUUACCAUAUAAAUUGUAUUGUUGUGCAUGCAUGCUAGCAGCUACAUUAGGUACCUGGAAAUGAGUAAAUCUUGUAAAAUAGAUACUAACAGCUACUCGGAAACAGGGUCUCUCUGCUUCUCAGAUGCAAGGGAAGAAUUAAAUCUGGCCCCCAACUUUCACAAAGCACUCUUAAUUACAUUCCCAUUCAUUGAGCACGUUUGAUGUACUGAAACCCAAGACUGAAAAAUAAUCAGACAGGCUUCACCUUCGGUUAGAAAGGCACUGUGGGGUUUUGAUUCCAUGACAAAAGUGGCAGGCAGCCUUUGGACACCAAAGGUGAAGGGCAGUUUGAAGAGAAGCAGCAUGUAGGUUGAUGGACAGGACUGCACCAGUACAUAGCCUAGAGCAGGUAGCUCCUUUCUCUCCACACUGAGAAGCAAAACGGGAACACAGGGUACCUGACUGCCGUUCCCCCACCAGAGACCAAGCCUUCUGCGUCAAGCCUUUGAGGAGAAGCAAACGGUUAUGAUUUUAGAAGACCUGGGUGCUUACCGUGUUUGGGGACAGGAAGUGAGCUGUUUUUAACCUUUCACCUGCUAGAGUGAGCCCCCUUCUGUGAUCCCUGUUACUGUAUUACCUGAGCCUCUCCUGAGGAGGUAGCACAGAAUUUUCUUCUUCCUCUGUACACAGUAAUUUUUUCACAAAGUCUCCCUAAACCAUAGCUUUCUUUUCCAAAACCCACUCUGUUUCUAAGAGUAAUUUCUUCUUGGAACAGGAACAUUUUCUUCACAGAGAAUCUUACCAGGAUGUGAAUUCAAGUCACCAAAUAGCAGCUGCGUCAUUAAGACAUAUCUGUUUGCUGAAUCACUUAACAGGAUUAAAUUUGGAGAAUUCUCUCCCAAAUGUCUAUUUAGAUAGUUGGGGCUCCUCGCUAAGCAUAUGGACUGUAAGAAUACCAGGCUGACCCGAAUUACUUGCUCACCUGUGAAGUACUUAUUAACACAAGAGCAGCCGCUUCCAAAGCAAAGGAGACUUGGUGAGCUAUUUGAAGACUGAUUUAAAAAACUCAUCAAGCCGGGGACAUACUGACUCGAUCAGGUCCCGCAUCAGGAAUUAAUCUACUUCCCUGGAACAAUAAAAUCUGGAAUGAGACCGUCCAUGACUAAAGAAUCGAAUGUAAACAUUUUACCUCUUAGCUAUAGAGAGAACUUUUAUUGAGGCAUGUUAUUUUCACCCCCAAGGAAAGUGGGGAGCAGAACUCAUUAGCACUACACUUUUGUUUAAGAAAUACUAUGUUCAUCCUAAGGCAUGGAACAUUCCUUUGCUUUGUCAUUGAUGUCAUAGCUUACUGUUGACACUGUGAGGUAAUUCCACCACAAGUUUCCCAAUAUUUUUCCCAGUGUACAUAUAGUCAACAGCCCGGAAUAUA